UUCUAUUUAGCAUGCUAGUCGCACGAGUUCAGACUCGUGGCGAAUAGCUCAGUAACACGUGGCCAAACUACCCUUCGGAACACAAUACCCUCGGGAAACUGAGGCUAAUAGUGUAUACCAUACCACCACUGGAAUGAGUGGUAUGCCAAACGCUCCGGCGCCGAAGGAUGUGGCUGCGGCCGAUUAGGUAGACGGUGGGGUAACGGCCCACCGUGCCAAUAAUCGGUAUGGGUCAUGAGAGUGAGAACCCAGAGACGGAAUCUGAGACAAGAUUCCGGGCCCUACGGGGCGCAGCAGGCGCGAAACCUUUACACUGCACGACAGUGCGAUAGGGGGAUCCCAAGUGCACAGGCAUAGCGCCUGUGCUUUUCGGUACCCUAAGGCGGUACCAGAAUAAGGGCUGGGCAAGACCGGUGCCAGCCGCCGCGGUAAUACCGGCAGCCCAAGUGAUGGCCGAUCUUAUUGGGCCUAAAGCGUCCGUAGCUGGCCGCGCAAGUCCAUCGGGAAAUCCACCUGCUCAACAGGUGGGCGCCCGGUAGAAACUGCGUGGCUUGGGACCGGAAGGCGCGACGGGUACGUCCGGGGUAGGAGUGAAAUCCCGUAAUCCUGGACGGACCGCCGAUGGCGAAAGCACGUCGCGAGAACGGAUCCGACAGUGAGGGACGAAAGCCAGGGUCUCGAACCGGAUUAGAUACCCGGGUAGUCCUGGCCGUAAACAAUGUCUGCUAGGUGUGGCUCCCACUACGAGUGGGUGCUGUGCCGUAGGGAAGCCGCUAAGCAGACCGCCUGGGAAGUACGUCCGCAAGGAUGAAACUUAAAGGAAUUGGCGGGGGAGCACUACAACCGGAGGAGCCUGCGGUUUAAUUGGACUCAACGCCGGACAUCUCACCAGCAUCGACUGUAGUAAUGACGAUCAGUUGAUGACCUUAU
This 930-nucleotide ribosomal RNA is filed under the name archaeon OC11. Its description in RNAcentral is "bacterial SSU rRNA". It matches the Rfam family "Archaeal small subunit ribosomal RNA", at positions 39 to 971 of the family's 1478-position model. The record is from RNAcentral.